UACGGAGGGUGCAAGCGUUGUUCGGAAUUACUGGGCGUAAAGGGGGUGUAGGCGGCCAAGUAAGUCAGAUGUGAAAUCCCCCGGCUUAACCGAGGAAGUGCAUCUGAAACUGCUUGGCUUGAGUAUGGGAGAGGAAGGCGGAAUUCCCGGUGUAGCGGUGACAUGCGUAGAUAUCGGGAGGAACACCAGUGGCGAAGGCGGCCUUCUGGCCCAAUACUGACGCUGAGACCCGAAAGCGUGGGGAGCAAACAGG
RNAcentral lists this ribosomal RNA (253 nucleotides) under uncultured bacterium. RNAcentral describes it as "partial 16S ribosomal RNA". It matches the Rfam family "Bacterial small subunit ribosomal RNA", at positions 524 to 776 of the family's 1533-position model. The record is from RNAcentral.